Molecule: microRNA precursor, 103 nt
Filed under: Marmota monax (woodchuck)
Lineage: Eukaryota; Metazoa; Chordata; Mammalia; Rodentia; Sciuridae
Source: RNAcentral
AGUGAAAUUGCUGGAUUAUAUGGUAAACUUAGUGUUUAACCCUUUGAGGAACUGGGAAAUUCUUUUUCAAACCUGCCUCACCAUUAUACAUUCCACCAGCAGU